Non-coding RNA from Pelobates cultripes (western spadefoot toad), 461 nucleotides. The record is from the annotation of a GenBank genome assembly. Lineage: Eukaryota; Metazoa; Chordata; Amphibia; Anura; Pelobatidae.
CAAAAAUACAACUUGCCUAAUAAUUCUGCACUCCCUGUAUGUUUAAACAUAUCUGUCCAAUAUGUAAACCAUGACUAGGACAAAAAGAAAAGAAGAGCAAAAAUAGAAAAAUUCUGAUCUAAGUAAUCAACAAUGCGUGAUGUAACCACUGAUACAACAGAGAAAUAUUAUGAUACCUGUAUAAAAUAGUAAACCAAAAAUGUACAUACCAAAUACCAAGAAACAUGAGAAGCGGGUGAAGACGUCAAACACAAAAUAGCCCCCAACGUUUCGGCGCUAUCCACCUUUAUCAAGGGAGCAUGUGGUGAAGGAAACAUAAUAACCUUUAUAUACCAACAUUUAAUAAAAAUAUGGAAAACACCUGAGUGAUAUAGGUGGCCACCCAUGAAUGAUUGGAACUCCCACAAUCAUAGUCACAUGACUAUGGUUGGUAAGGUAACCAAUAAACAAACACUGUUCAU